GAGUAAAUCAAGGGGGAUAAAGGGAGAGAUAUUAGGAGAAAAUCAAGGGAAGUGAGGGUUGAGGAGAUGUGUGCCGAAAGUGGAUGUUGGCAUUCAGGAAAUUCGGCCAGAAUGGAGACUGCUCAUUAUGGUAUACUUUUCUUUUUAGUUCUGUGUAGUUUUCUCUCUUUUUGCUUUUAGGUGCUGAAUUUUUGCUAAGAUUUGGGGUACCUCUCGGGUUUUUCUUUUGGCUGCUCUUCCCUUUUAC
This 247-nucleotide long non-coding RNA is filed under the name Gossypium raimondii (Peruvian cotton). Its description in RNAcentral is "long non-coding RNA (GRAI_LNC008497)". Lineage: Eukaryota; Viridiplantae; Streptophyta; Magnoliopsida; Malvales; Malvaceae. The record is from RNAcentral.